RNAcentral lists this ribosomal RNA (259 nucleotides) under uncultured prokaryote. RNAcentral's name for it is "partial 16S ribosomal RNA". It matches the Rfam family "Bacterial small subunit ribosomal RNA", at positions 524 to 782 of the family's 1533-position model. The record is from RNAcentral.
UACGUAGGGUCCAAGCGUUAAUCGGAAUUAUUGGGCGUAAAGGGCGCGCAGGCGGCCUCUUAAGUCUGAUGUGAAAUCUUGUGGCUUAACCACAAGCGGUCAUUGGAAACUGAGAAGCUUGAGUGCAGAAGAGGAGAGUGGAAUUCCACGUGUAGCGGUGAAAUGCGUAGAGAUGUGGAGGAACACCAGUGGCGAAGGCGACUCUCUGGUCUGUAACUGACGCUGAGGCGCGAAAGCGUGGGGAGCGAACAGGAUUAGA